RNAcentral lists this ribosomal RNA (199 nucleotides) under uncultured prokaryote. Its description in RNAcentral is "partial 16S ribosomal RNA". It matches the Rfam family "Bacterial small subunit ribosomal RNA", at positions 524 to 722 of the family's 1533-position model. The record is from RNAcentral.
GACGAACCGUGCGAACGUUGUUCGGAAUCACUGGGCUUAAAGGGCGCGUAGGCGGCAAAUCAAGUCCGGGGUGAAAGCCCUCAGCUCAACUGGGGAAGUGCCUUAGAUACUGGUUUGCUGGAGGGAGGUAGGGGUCGAGGGAACUUCUGGUGGAGCGGUGAAAUGCGUUGAUAUCAGAAGGAACGCCGGUGGCGAACGC